This 261-nucleotide ribosomal RNA is filed under the name uncultured archaeon. RNAcentral describes it as "partial 16S ribosomal RNA". It matches the Rfam family "Archaeal small subunit ribosomal RNA", at positions 748 to 1009 of the family's 1478-position model. The record is from RNAcentral.
UAGCCGUAAACGAUACUCGCUAGGUGUCGGCCACGGUGCGACCGUUGUCGGUGCCGUAGGGAAGCCGUGAAGCGAGCCACCUGGGAAGUACGGCCGCAAGGCUGAAACUUAAAGGAAUUGGCGGGGGAGCACCACAACGGGUGGAGCUUGCGGUUUAAUUGGAGUCAACGCCGGAAAUCUCACCGGGAGCGACAGCAGUAUGAAAGCCAGAUUGAAGGUCUUGCUAGACGAGCUGAGAGGAGGUGCAUGGCGUAGUCGUGU